This 466-nucleotide ribosomal RNA is filed under the name uncultured bacterium. RNAcentral's name for it is "partial 16S ribosomal RNA". It matches the Rfam family "Bacterial small subunit ribosomal RNA", at positions 28 to 507 of the family's 1533-position model. The record is from RNAcentral.
GAUGAACGCUGGCGGCGUGCUUAACACAUGCAAGUCGAACGGAAAGGCUCCUGCUUGCAGGGGUGCUCGAGUGGCGAACGGGUGAGUAACACGUGGGUGAUCUGCCCUGCACUUCGGGAUAAGCCUGGGAAACUGGGUCUAAUACCGGAUAGGCCGAUGGUUUGGAUGCCAUUGUGGAAAGUUUUUGCGGUGUGGGAUGAGCUCGCGGCCUAUCAGCUUGUUGGUGGGGUAAUGGCCUACCAAGGCGUCGACGGGUAGCCGGCCUGAGAGGGUGUACGGCCACAUUGGGACUGAGAUACGGCCCAGACUCCUACGGGGGACAGCAGUGGGGAAUAUUGCACAAUGGGCGCAAGCCUGAUGCAGCGACGCCGCGGGGGGGAUGACGGCCUGCGGGUUGUAAACUCCUUUCGCUAGGGACGAAGCGCAAGUGACGGUACCGGGAGAAGAAGCACCGGCUAACUACGUG